This 66-nucleotide transfer RNA is filed under the name Cheumatopsyche speciosa. RNAcentral's name for it is "tRNA-Trp". Lineage: Eukaryota; Metazoa; Arthropoda; Insecta; Trichoptera; Hydropsychidae. The record is from RNAcentral.
UAAGAUUUUAAGUUAAAUAAACUUUUAAUUUUCAAAAUUAAAUAUAAAGAUUUUCUUUAAGUCUUA